CCUACGGGUGGCUGCAGUGGGGGAUAUUGCACAAUGGGGGAAACCCUGAUGCAGCGACGCCGCGUGUGGGAAGACGGUCCUCUGGAUUGUAAACCACUGUCCCCAGGGACGAAGAUGACGGUACCUGGGGCGGCAGCUCCGGCUCACUACGUGCCAGCAGCCGCGGUAAUACGCAGGGAGCAAGCGUUGUCCGGAAUUACGGGGUGUAAAGGGAGCGUAGGCGGGAUGGCAAGUUGGGUGUUAAAUCUACCGGCUCAACUGGUAGUCGCACUCAAAACUGCUAUUCUUGAGUGAAGUAGAGGCAGGCGGAAUUCCUAGUGUAGCGGUGAAAUGCGUAGAUAUUAGGAGGAACACCAGUGGCGAAGGCGGCCUGCUGGGCUUUGACUGACGCUGAGGCUCGAAAGUGUGGGGAGCAAACAGGAUUAGAUACCCUUGUAGUC
Molecule: ribosomal RNA, 440 nt
Filed under: uncultured bacterium
Lineage: Bacteria
Description: partial 16S ribosomal RNA
Rfam family: Bacterial small subunit ribosomal RNA
Source: RNAcentral